Neogale vison (American mink) is the source of this 142-nucleotide small nuclear RNA. RefSeq annotates it as U4 spliceosomal RNA. The transcript has a single exon. The record is from RefSeq and is a predicted model, not a curated record. NCBI's taxonomy places the organism in Eukaryota, Metazoa, Chordata, Mammalia, Carnivora, Mustelidae.
AUCUAGUUGGAAACAGUAUCGUAGCCAAUGAGGUUUAUCCGAGGCGCGAUUAUUGCUAAUUGGAAACAGAGAUAAUUAAACUAGUAACCUCAUAUAACUGCUAUGAAGAAAUAUAGGGUAAAAUUGAAGUAUGCAACAGGAA